GUAGGUGGCAAGCGUUGUCCGGAAUUAUUGGGCGUAAAGCGCGCGCAGGCGGUUCUUUAAGUCUGAUGUGAAAGCCCACGGCUCGACCGUGGAGGGUCAUUGGAAACUGGAGAACUUGAGUACAGAAGAGGAAAGCGGAAUUCCACGUGUAGCGGUGAAAUGCGUAGAGAUGUGGAGGAACACCAGUGGCGAAGGCGGCUUUCUGGUCUGUAACUGACGCUGAGGCGCGAAAGCGUGGGGAGCAAACAGGAUUAGAUACCCUGGUAGUCCACGCCGUAAACGAUGAGUGCUAAGUGUUAGGGGGGUUUCCGCCCCCCUUAGUGCUGCAGCUAACGCAUUAAGCACUCCGCCUGGGAGUACGACCGCAAGGUUG
RNAcentral lists this ribosomal RNA (373 nucleotides) under uncultured organism. RNAcentral describes it as "partial 16S ribosomal RNA". It matches the Rfam family "Bacterial small subunit ribosomal RNA", at positions 527 to 896 of the family's 1533-position model. The record is from RNAcentral.